CAGCAGCCGCGGGAAUACGGAGGGUGCAAGCGUUAAUCGGAAUUACUGGGCGUAAAGCGCACGCAGGCGGUCUGACAAGUCAGAUGUGAAAUCCCCGGGCUUAACCUGGGAACUGCAUUUGAAACUGUCUGGCUGGAGUCUUGUAGAGGGGGGUAGAAUUCCAGGUGUAGCGGUGAAAUGCGUAGAGAUCUGGAGGAAUACCGGUGGCGAAGGCGGCCCCCUGGACAAAGACUGACGCUCAGGUGCGAAAGCAUGGGGAGCAAAUAGGAUUAGAUACCCCUGUAGUCCCUGUCUCUUAUAC
This 301-nucleotide ribosomal RNA is filed under the name uncultured bacterium. RNAcentral describes it as "partial 16S ribosomal RNA". It matches the Rfam family "Bacterial small subunit ribosomal RNA", at positions 509 to 807 of the family's 1533-position model. The record is from RNAcentral.